RNAcentral lists this ribosomal RNA (199 nucleotides) under uncultured bacterium. RNAcentral describes it as "partial 16S ribosomal RNA". It matches the Rfam family "Bacterial small subunit ribosomal RNA", at positions 1301 to 1500 of the family's 1533-position model. The record is from RNAcentral.
UGGUCUGCAACUCGACCACACGAAGCUGGAAUCGCUAGUAAUCGCGAAUCAGCAUGUCGCGGUGAAUACGUUCCCGGGUCUUGUACACACCGCCCGUCACACCAUGGGAGUCAGCAACGCCCGAAGUCAGUGACCUAACCGAAAGGAAGGAGCUGCCGAAGGCGGGCAGGUAACUGGGGUGAAGUCGUAACAAGGUAUC